CACCACAGGUGUCAUUUUAAAUGGCACAAGAGAGCAGAUGGAACAGCAAGGAUUUUGAAAAGUCAACUUAGAGCAAUAUGAUGGGGUCAUCACUUUUGUCAAUAUCACCAAAAAUCACUGGAGGUUUGUGUUUGUAUAUGCUCAGACUGACACCCUUUUCAUGCUUGACUCUCUGAGUGGUACAAAUGAAAUGAAAUGAAAAGGCAUGCCAAAAAUUCGGGUAUGAUAGUCUGUUUUAAAAAAGAUAUUUAGCAUGUGUAGAUCCAAAACAGUAAUAAUGGAAACUAAGCAAAGUUCAUGUUGUGUAAGACUACCAUAAUCACACACUGCAAAAAGAAUUACCCCCAAAAGAGGAGCAAUGCGUUAAGUGUGAACGCAAAGAAAUACGUCACAAAGAUGAUCAAUGCUCAAACUGUGGAUACAGACAAAGAGAUCCAGUAGAUGUGCUCUACGACUGGGUAUUGUUUAUCCGGCUGUUGACUUUUCGUUUUAAGUGAAAGCAUGUGUUUUCACAACUACAUUUAAUAAUUACAACACUGUGCAAAUAAAUCUAACAACAUUUCCUAUUUUCCUUCCAGGUUCAAUGUGAAAUUUGUCUGAGGUGGUAUCGUCUCAACAUUAAAGUGCCAGCACAGGAAGAACCAUGGACUUGUGAUUUGUGUCUGUAAGCUAUUCAGUUAGAUGAGCUUAUGCUGAAAGUGUUCUUACAUUGUAAGAAAAAAGGUUUUGCCUAUUUGAUAUGUUAUGUAAAUGCUUUACACUUUUUUAGUAUUUGGUAUAGGCUUCAUAUUGUUGUGUUGCUUGUUGUCCUCUGCUGGUCUUUUAUGUGAAUGAAUUUUGGGGGAAGAAAUACUUGCAUUUGGGAGGUUGAAAUAUUUGUGAUAUUGGGUAGUUUACUUUUUAUUAUCUACAAAAACAUUUAAAACACCUAAAAUGUUUUUUUUUCCUUCUUUUUUUUCAUAAUUAGGAUGCAAGUGAAGUGAUAUGAACAAUGUAAGGGUUUUCAAUAACAACCUCUUUUACUUUAAGAAAGUGUUGUGGUUUAUGCUCUAUGUAAAAAAAUGACUUGUCAAAGAUCUUUGAUUACAGAAGUAUUUUUACUUUAUUGUACAACCAAGGAGAUAGCCUCUUCAGGAGACCGCUCCUGAUUUCUGCUAUCGUCUCACUAUAUAUACAGGCAAAAGCCCUUCGCCAUACAUUUUAUAGAUAUUCUGAGAAAUGUAACAUUUACCAUGUGACACAUAUUCUUCAGCUUGAAAUAUAAAUUUCCAUACAUGUAAACACAUUCCUAAAUUUUCUCAUACAGCAUACUUUUUUUACUAGCAAGCGCUUUCUGCUCUUUGUUCAUGUAUGAUUAUAUUUGUGGAGGGAGACAUGCUUAUAUUAUGCUGUAUUAUUAUCAAUUUUACUAUAAUAAAAUCUUCUUCAAAGGCAACUAUACAUUAGUGCUUUACUUUCUUAUUAUUUUGAACAUUAUUUUGUUUGUUUUUAUAAAAAAAUUCAUAAUCAUUUAUAGUCAUGUAUGUAGUUGUCAUUGAUUUAUCAUUAUUAUGGUAGUACUUUAAAACAUAAAUAAUACACAGAUACAAAACAUAAAUUACUGGUUAAUCA
Long non-coding RNA from Megalobrama amblycephala (Wuchang bream), 1611 nucleotides. RefSeq lists it as uncharacterized. The record is from RefSeq and is a predicted model, not a curated record. The transcript has 3 exons. Lineage: Eukaryota; Metazoa; Chordata; Actinopteri; Cypriniformes; Xenocyprididae.